CAAGCGCAGUAAGGGCAAAUGGUGGACACCUUGGUAGCUGAAAGCGAUGAAGGACGUGGCUAGCUGCGAUAAGCCUCGGGGAGCCGCUAAGCAGGCUUUGAUCCGUGGAUUUCUGAAUGGGAGUGCCCCCUAUGGUGAAGCCAUAGGAGUUCGCACUGAAACUAAAGUAGGUGCGUUCAGCGAACCCGGCGAAGUGAAACAUCUCAGUAACCGGAGGAAAAGAAAUCAAAAGAGAUUCCCUUAGUAGUGGCGAGCGAAACGGGAAGAGCCUAAACCAGCAGAAUGUAAGACUGCAUUCGUUGUUCUGUUGGGGUUGUAAGUCAGUGUCAUCUCACCGAUGCAGGGGUGGGCAGGGUUAAAAGUGACGUCUAGUGGAACAGUCCGCAAAGUCUCUGGAAAGGACGACCGCAGAGGGUGAUAGUCCCGUACACGAAAGGCCGAUCUACCCUGGAUGCUGACUUGAGUAGCGCCGGACACGUGAAAUCCGACGUGAAUCUGGGAGGACCACCUCCUAAGGCUAAAUAUUCUCAGCUGACCGAUAGUGAACUAGUACCGCGAGGGAAAGGUGAAAAGCACCCCGGGAGGGGAGUGAAAUAGAACUUGAAACCAUUUGCUUACAGACAGUGGGAGCACCCACAAAUCGCCUUUGGGCAUUUAAUCGGGUGUGACCGCAUGCCUAUUGUAGUAUGAGCCGGCGAGUUACGGUAUGUGGCAAGGUUAAGCCGAUAGAGGUGUAGCCGAAGCGAAAGCGAGUCUGAAUAGGGCAAAUAGUCACAUGUCGUAGACCCGAAGCCAAGUGAACUAGCCAUGGGCAGGUUGAAGUGUACUUGACCGUACAUGAAGGACCGAACCCACUAGCGUUGAAAAGCUAGGGGAUGACCUGUGGUUAGGGGCGAAAAACCAAUCGAACUUGGUGAUAUCUGGCUCUCCCCGAAAUAGCUUUAGGGCUAGCCUCGUGUUAUAGACUGUUGGGGGUAGAGCACUGAUCGGGGAAGGGGGGCAACUCUCGACCCUAAGCAAACUCCGAAUACCAGCAGAUCGUUUCACGGGAGUCAGGGCGUGGGUGAUAACGUCCACGCUCGAGAGGGAAACAACCCAGACCGCCAGCUAAGGUCCCCAAAUCCAUGCUAAGUGGGAAAGGAAGUGUUGUUGUCGAGACAGCUGGGAGGUUGGCUUAGAAGCAGCCAUCCUUUAAAGAGUGCGUAAUAGCUCACCAGUCUAACGGCGAUGCGCCGAAAAUUUAACGGGGCUAAGCGUGGUACCGAAGCUGCGGGAUGCCGUUCUUUCGAGCGGUAUUGGUAGGGGAGCAUUCCGUUAACGGUUGAAGCUGAGCUGGAAGGCUUGGUGGACGAGACGGAAGAGAGAAUGCCGGCAUGAGUAGCGCGAGCAAUGUGAGAAUCAUUGCCACCGAAUGCCUAAGGUUUCCUGGGGAAGGCUUGUCCUCCCAGGGUUAGGCGGAACCUAAGUUGAACCCGAAAGGGGUAGGCGAUGGACAGCAGGUUAAUAUUCCUGCGCCUCUAAUCUUGCAUUUGAGCAAAGGGGGGACCCCGAAGGGCCCUCUCCGCACACUGACGGAAUAGUGUGUCCAAGCACCAAGGUAGGGAGAAUAGGCAAAUCCGUUCUCUCGUUAAGUCGAGGUGUGAUGGCGAGCCCGCUUUAGGGCGAAGGGAGAAGGGGUCAUCGGGCGAGAAAAUCCUCUAGCGAGCAAGGAAGAGUCCGUACCGCAAACCGACACAGGUAGGCGAGUUGAGUAUACUAAGGUGGACGAGUGAAAUUCAGUUAAGGAACUCGGCAAAAUGACCCCGUAACUUCGGGAUAAGGGGUGCCAUCUUCGGAUGGCCGCAGAGAAUCGGCCUGAGCGACUGUUUAGCAAAAACACAGGACUCUGCUAACUCGUAAGAGGAUGUAUAGAGUCUGAAACCUGCCCACUGCUGGAAGGUUAAGGGGAGCUGUUAACGCGGCGAACUGAAGCCCCAGUGAAGGGCGGCGGUAACUAUAACCGUCCUAAGGUAGCGAAAUUCCUUGUCAGGUAAGUUCUGACCCGCAUGAAAGGUCCAACGACUUGGGCGCUGUCUUGACUGAAUGCUCGGUGAAAUUGAAACACAGGUGUAAACGCCUGUGACCCGCGGCUGGACAAAAAGACCCCGUGGAGCUUUACUAUAGCUUGGCAUUGAGUUUUAGCAUUCGUUGUGUAGGAUAGGUGGGAGGCGAUGAAGCUGGGGCGCUAGCCUCGGUGGAGCCGUCCUUGGAAUACCACCCUGCGUGUGUUGAGGCUCUAACCAUCGGCCGUUAGCAGCGGUCGUGGGACAGUGUUAGGUGGGUAGUUUGACUGGGGCGGUCGCCUCCUAAAGAGUAACGGAGGCGCGCAAAGGUCUCUUCAGGCUGGUUGGUGAUCAGCCAUUGAGUGUAAGGGUAUAAAGAGGCUUGACUGCGAGACCUACAAGUCGAGCAGGUGCGAAAGCAGGUCCUAGUGACCCAGUGGCACUUUGUGGAAGGGCCACUGCUCAUCGGACAAAAGUUACCCCGGGGAUAACAGGCUAGU
RNAcentral lists this ribosomal RNA (2542 nucleotides) under Chloroflexota bacterium. RNAcentral's name for it is "bacterial LSU rRNA". It matches the Rfam family "Bacterial large subunit ribosomal RNA", at positions 1 to 2486 of the family's 2925-position model. The record is from RNAcentral. Lineage: Bacteria; Bacillati; Chloroflexota.